GAUGAACGCUGACAGAAUGCUUAACACAUGCAAGUCGAUGGGGAAGUGGUGCUUGCACCAUGGUAACCAUGGCGGACGGGUGAGUAACGCGUAAGGAACUUGCCUGCGGGACUGGGAUAACAGCAGGAAACUGCUGAUAAUAACGGAUAAGGUCAUUAAGCUGCAUAGCUUAGUGAUGAAAGGAGACGCCUGCGGAGAGCCUUGCGUCCUAUUAGCUAGUUGGAGGGGUAACGGCCCACCAAGGCGAAGAUAGGUAGCCGGCCUGAGAGGGUGGACGGCCACAAGGGGACUGAGAUACGGCCCUUACUCCUACGGGAGGCGGCAGUGGGGAAUAUUAGACAAUGGGGGCAACCCUGAUCCAGCAAUUCUGUGUGCACGAAGACGGUUUUCGGAUUGUAAAGUGCUUUCAGCAGGGAAGAAGGAAGUGACGGUACCUGCAGAAGAAGCGACGGCUAAAUACGUG
RNAcentral lists this ribosomal RNA (463 nucleotides) under uncultured bacterium. RNAcentral's name for it is "partial 16S ribosomal RNA". It matches the Rfam family "Bacterial small subunit ribosomal RNA", at positions 28 to 507 of the family's 1533-position model. The record is from RNAcentral.